This 76-nucleotide transfer RNA is filed under the name Monodelphis domestica (gray short-tailed opossum). RNAcentral describes it as "tRNA-Ala (CGC) (tRNA-Ala-CGC-5-1)". The stretch from base 8 to 71 matches the Rfam family "tRNA", at positions 5 to 66 of the family's 71-position model. From Rfam's summary of the family: Transfer RNA (tRNA) molecules are approximately 80 nucleotides in length. Lineage: Eukaryota; Metazoa; Chordata; Mammalia; Didelphimorphia; Didelphidae. The record is from RNAcentral.
ACUUUAGCUUUGGCGCAGUAGGUAGUGCAUCAGUCUCGCAAGCUGAAGGUCCUGAGUUCGAUCCUCAGAUGGAGGA